Molecule: long non-coding RNA, 219 nt
Filed under: Cercocebus atys (sooty mangabey)
Lineage: Eukaryota; Metazoa; Chordata; Mammalia; Primates; Cercopithecidae
Description: lncRNA (ENSCATG00000045664.1)
Source: RNAcentral
GUUUUAAAAUUUGAAGACAUCUUUUGGUUUAUUUAAUUCAAAUCUUUAUUUUGCAGAUGAGGAAACAGCAACCCAGAGAGGAGAAGUAACCCACACUGGAUCAUUUCGUGAAGGAGCAAGGCUGAAGACCCAGACCUGCACUUUCUUAGAAUCACCAUGAUGGCUGAGAUCCUGUACACAUAUCCUGAAAACUGGAGGGCCUCAUCACUGCUUAGUACA